GCGGACGGGUGAGUAACACGUGAGGAACAUGCCUAUCGGCGGGGGAUAGCCGGCCCAACGGCCGGGUAAUACCGCGUACGCUCACUGGAGGGCAUCCCCUGGUGAGGAAAGCAGCAAUGCACCGAUAGAGUGCCUCGCGGCCUAUCAGCUAGUUGGUGAGGUAAUGGCUCACCAAGGCUACGACGGGUAGCUGGUCUGAGAGGAUGAUCAGCCACAUUGGGACUGAGACACGGCCCAGACUCCUACGGGAGGCAGCAGUGGGGAAUCUUGCGCAAUGGCCGAAAGGCUGACGCAGCGACGCCGCGUGUGGGAUGACGGCCUUCGGGUUGUAAACCACUGUCGGAAGGGACGAAUGGCCCGCAAGGGCAGUGACGGUACCUUCAAAGGAAGCACCGGCUAACUCCGUGCCAGCAGCCGCGGUAAU
RNAcentral lists this ribosomal RNA (424 nucleotides) under uncultured bacterium. Its description in RNAcentral is "bacterial SSU rRNA". It matches the Rfam family "Bacterial small subunit ribosomal RNA", at positions 98 to 524 of the family's 1533-position model. The record is from RNAcentral.